RNAcentral lists this ribosomal RNA (344 nucleotides) under uncultured bacterium. RNAcentral describes it as "partial 16S ribosomal RNA". It matches the Rfam family "Bacterial small subunit ribosomal RNA", at positions 338 to 699 of the family's 1533-position model. The record is from RNAcentral.
CCUACGGGUGGCAGCAGUGGGGAAUAUUGCACAAUGGGGGAAACUCUGAUGCAGCAACGCCGCGUGAGUGAAGAAGUAUUUCGGUAUGUAAAGCUCUAUCAGCAGGGAAGAAGACGUCGGUACCUGAAUAAGAAUCACAGGCUAACUACGUGCCAGCAGCCGCGGUAAUACGUAGGGGGCAAGCGUUAUCCGGAUUUACUGGGUGUAAAGGGAGCGCAGGCGGCAGUGCAAGUCUGGAGUGAAAGCCCGGGGCCCAACCCCGGAACUGCUCGGGAAACUGUGCGGCUAGAGUACUGGUGGGGCAGGCGGAAUGCCUGGUGUAGCGGUGAAAUGCGUAGAGAUUA